This 21-nucleotide non-coding RNA is filed under the name Caenorhabditis elegans. Lineage: Eukaryota; Metazoa; Nematoda; Chromadorea; Rhabditida; Rhabditidae. The record is from RNAcentral.
UUUGUCAUCGUCGUCAUGUUU